AUUGAACGCUGGCGGCAGGCCUAACACAUGCAAGUCGAGCGGAUGAAGGGAGCUUGCUCCUGGAUUCAGCGGCGGACGGGUGAGUAAUGCCUAGGAAUCUGCCUGGUAGUGGGGGAUAACGUCCGGAAACGGGCGCUAAUACCGCAUACGUCCUGAGGGAGAAAGUGGGGGAUCUUCGGACCUCACGCUAUCAGAUGAGCCUAGGUCGGAUUAGCUAGUUGGUGGGGUAAAGGCCUACCAAGGCGACGAUCCGUAACUGGUCUGAGAGGAUGAUCAGUCACACUGGAACUGAGACACGGUCCAGACUCCUACGGGAGGCAGCAGUGGGGAAUAUUGGACAAUGGGCGAAAUCCUGAUCCAGCCAUGCCGCGUGUGAAGAAGGUCUUCGGAUUGUAAAGCACUUUAAGUUGGGAGGAAGGGCAGUAAGUUAAUACCUUGCUGUUUUGACGUUACCAACAGAAUAAGCACCGGCUAACUUCGUG
Molecule: ribosomal RNA, 482 nt
Filed under: uncultured bacterium
Lineage: Bacteria
Description: partial 16S ribosomal RNA
Rfam family: Bacterial small subunit ribosomal RNA
Source: RNAcentral